RNAcentral lists this small nuclear RNA (335 nucleotides) under Octodon degus (degu). Its description in RNAcentral is "7SK RNA (ENSODEG00000023429.1)". It matches the Rfam family "7SK RNA". Rfam says of the family: 7SK was discovered as an abundant small nuclear RNA in the mid-70s but a possible function has only recently been suggested. Two independent studies have found that 7SK RNA binds the CDK9/cyclin T complex (known as elongation factor P-TEFb). Lineage: Eukaryota; Metazoa; Chordata; Mammalia; Rodentia; Octodontidae. The record is from RNAcentral.
GAAUGUGAGGACAAUCUGGCAAUGACAUCUGCCACCACAUUGAUUGCCAGGGUUGACACUAGCUGGCUGGCUAGGUGGGUGCCCCUUUCCUCCCUCAACACUUCAUGUGUGUCCCUCCCGUCCCUCCCAAAGUCCUGCACUUGCUUGGUUGAAGAUGACCACCCCUGAUAAAGAAGGAGCUUUCCUCUAUCAAGGUUAUAGGAGUAGCUGCGCUCCCCUGAUGGAACCUCCAAACAAGCUCUCAAAAUAUGUGAUUUCCUUUCUUUUCUAAUUAUGAACUUCUUACUUCUCUUUAUGUAAAUAAAGUUUGAAUUCCUAUUUGGGGCCAAAACAUU